This 272-nucleotide unclassified non-coding RNA is filed under the name Hevea brasiliensis (rubber tree). The record is from RNAcentral. Lineage: Eukaryota; Viridiplantae; Streptophyta; Magnoliopsida; Malpighiales; Euphorbiaceae.
CUGAGGAUAAGUUUUCGACGCUCCAGCAUCGGCCUUGGACUCAAAAUGAUGCUCCUCAUCAGACAUGGUGACGAUGGGUUGGCUGGUAGCUAGCUUCGAAAACGAGAGACUAUGAGAAGAACAGAGAAGGGAGAGAUAAAAAGCAGGGAGAGCGAGAGGGGAACUGAGAUUUGUGGUAUUUAUAGGGGUAAAUAGGGAAGAGAGCAAAUAUAAAAGGAUCUAGGGUUCUUUGUUUUUCUAAAGCUGGCUUUUGUGUGAUUAAGCGAGUUUGG